GGAGGGUGCAAGCGUUGUUCGGAAUUAUUGGGCGUAAAGAGCAUGUAGGCGGCCUAGUAAGUCUGAUGUGAAAUCCCAGGGCUUAACCCUGGAACUGCAUUGGAUACUGCUAGGCUAGAGACCGAGAGAGGAAAGCGGAAUUCCUGGUGUAGGGGUGAAAUCCGUAGAUAUCAGGAGGAACACCGGAGGCGAAGGCGGCUUUCUGGCUCGGUUCUGACGCUGAGAUGCGAAAGCGUGGGUAGCGAACGGGGGAUUAGAUACCCCGGUAGUCCACGCCCUAAACGAUGGAUACUAGACGUUGGAGUUCCCUAAUAGCUUCAGUGUCGCAGCUAACGCGGUAAGUAUCCCGCCUGGGGAUUACGGUCGCAAGAUUA
RNAcentral lists this ribosomal RNA (374 nucleotides) under uncultured organism. RNAcentral describes it as "partial 16S ribosomal RNA". It matches the Rfam family "Bacterial small subunit ribosomal RNA", at positions 527 to 896 of the family's 1533-position model. The record is from RNAcentral.